CCUUACCCACCUUUGACAUGUACGGAAUCCUUUAGAGAUAGAGGAGUGCUACGAAAGAGAACCGUAACACAGGUGCUGCAUGGCUGUCGUCAGCUCGUGUCGUGAGAUGUUGGGUUAAGUCCCGCAACGAGCGCAACCCUUGUCAUUAGUUGCUACAUUCAGUUGGGCACUCUAAUGAGACUGCCGGUGACAAACCGGAGGAAGGUGGGGAUGACGUCAAGUCCUCAUGGCCCUUAUAGGUGGGGCUACACACGUCAUACAAUGGAUGGUACAAAGGGUCGCCAACCCGCGAGGGGGAGCCAAUCCCAUAAAGCCAUUCGUAGUCCGGAUCGCAGUCUGCAACUCGACUGCGUGAAGUCGGAAUCGCUAGUAAUCGUAGAUCAGCAUGCUACGGUGAAUACGUUCCCGGGCCUU
RNAcentral lists this ribosomal RNA (414 nucleotides) under uncultured Acidovorax sp. RNAcentral describes it as "bacterial SSU rRNA". It matches the Rfam family "Bacterial small subunit ribosomal RNA", at positions 969 to 1382 of the family's 1533-position model. Lineage: Bacteria; Pseudomonadati; Pseudomonadota; Betaproteobacteria; Burkholderiales; Comamonadaceae. The record is from RNAcentral.